GCACCACAUCGGCUUCAAGGAAAUGGAUCGGGAAAAUAAUAAUAAUAGUAAUCGGAGGGGCAACAUAAAGAAGCAGAAGAAAUCGACAACAACUUGUUCUUCCGUGCCUGUGAAUAUCCCUUGCAGCAAUGUGUUGCAGUUUUCGGAGGCUGGUGAUGAUUUUGAAGAGGAAUUUGAUAGAGAGGAAUUGAUUCCGCCGCAUGUUAUAAUUGGGAGGAGAAUUCAAGGGAAAAUGGCAUUCUCU
Molecule: unclassified non-coding RNA, 244 nt
Filed under: Hevea brasiliensis (rubber tree)
Lineage: Eukaryota; Viridiplantae; Streptophyta; Magnoliopsida; Malpighiales; Euphorbiaceae
Source: RNAcentral